GAUCCUCCCUGGCCUCUCCUUGGGCAGAGGAGGUGGUCCAUAAAGCUGCUCUGGAGCCAAAAUAUUGCAGUCACAUCUCGGCAGCGACCUGCCCUCAGGUGGCAUUUUCAAGUCAUGGAGAAGGCGGAGGUGCUGCAGCUCCACCUCAGAGGGCACUGCUGGGGGCUCCGGGGGCAAGGGUUCAGCUGAGAAAGGAAGCAGAUAAUAAGGGCCUCUGGAUUCUCGGAAAAGAAAAACCCUCCUCUUGGCGCACAGCUCCUCUCAGGCUCCUCAAACUUGGCCUCACUGCUAAUGAUUCCUCGCACCCAGAUGGUAGCCAGUCUUCCAAAGCACUUUCAGAGAAAGAGCACUGCGGGUGGCUGACAACGGGCCCUCUUUGCUGAUGGGGACACUGAGACACUGAGACUCACUGAGAUGACAAGACUUGCGGUCUCCUGGCACAGAUCUCUUUCCCUCUGCCUCAAAGCCCUUCCAUCCACCCACCUCCCUGGGGCACUCUAAGCCACCCUCACAGCCCUCUGAUGCCAGUCCUGCUCCCAGGUCAUGCCAGCCCCAUCUUACCCGUCUGGUUUUUGAGUUUGGACAAGCUCCACUCCAGCUGCUCUACCCAACGCAUAUCCUGCUUCUCUUUCUUUAAUGUGCAAAUCUGCCCAAAGCACAGGGGGAAAGGGCCCUGGAGAGAGGGGCUGGUGGCUGGACAGGCUGCCCUCUCCUUCUCUGCCCCCACCCCCACAAAGCCCAGACCCAUGACCACCUCUGGCUCUACUAUUCCCAUUUUACAGAUGCCCAGAAAGAUCCAGUGACCUAUCUAAUGUGGGGGGGCUGAAGGGUCAGAUCUCACCUCCUGCGACAUUUUACUCAUCCUCUGAUGCCACCGGGCCCUCUCUCCUUCUAUAUGUUCAGCACACUCAUCUCUUUCUAAUUGGAGUUGUUGAAAUGACUCCUUCAACUGCAAGAAUGGGCACAGAAGUUAGGAAGGGCUGUCACUGGUCCUCACCUGCUCCUGGCCACCUGGGGUCAUCGUCCUUCCACAUCCCUCCCUCGGAAAACCUCACCUGUGUCAGCUGCGCUUUCAGCAGUGCCUGGUCCUGUAGGGACUGCUCUAACUCCCACUCUGUAUGUGCUUUGCUGCAGCUGGACAACUGGAUGGUGAAGAGUGAGAAGUUUCAAUCUGGAGAGCCUGGGCAUUUCCACACAGUGCCCCUUAACAGGGCUAGGGCUAGGCCCAAUAUACAACUCGGUCAGUAAAGAUCAAGGCAUUUCCCAGCCCGUGGUCUGGUUUUUAAAAGAACACAGUAAAGUUGGAACGGACAGGGAAUGAGACUGAGUUUAUAGCUGGCUAACAGAG
RNAcentral lists this long non-coding RNA (1348 nucleotides) under Homo sapiens (human). RNAcentral's name for it is "HSALNT0217981". Lineage: Eukaryota; Metazoa; Chordata; Mammalia; Primates; Hominidae. The record is from RNAcentral.